Molecule: long non-coding RNA, 2281 nt
Filed under: Homo sapiens (human)
Lineage: Eukaryota; Metazoa; Chordata; Mammalia; Primates; Hominidae
Description: HSALNT0026803
Source: RNAcentral
CUCGUGGAUGGGUACUGUCUAAGGGCAGACUGGUCAGAUGUUCUGUUUCUCCAUUUUAACUGACUAAUUGGCAAAUAGCCUCAUCUGAGGCUUUCUCCGCAUACAGAGAUUGUAAUGAAACUGGGGCAGGAGCACGAGUCAUUCACAGGUGCCUGAGCCUUGCCUGGCACUGAUGGAAGAAGACCCAUAGCUGUGACAGUACCCAGUACACACUUGGAUUUCAGGAAAUAAUGCUAUGGAGAUGAACAAGACACAUAUCUGCCCUCCGGGAGCUCAGAGCUUGGUGAGAUGGGAGUGUGAGCAGCUGAUGAUUCCCCAGCAAGCUCUCCGAUGGAAGGAAAUGCACACAGAGGCUGUGGAUGACCACAGCUGGGGAGUGGUGAUGUCUCAGUGAAAAGGACAGCUGAAUCACCUUUGAGUUCCACGUGCUGUCGGCCCAUCUCAAACUCAUGACACAAUUGUUGACACAUAGAUGGUAGCCAGUGCUUGUCAACUAAAGAAGAGAAUGGGAAAGGAAGAAGACAAAAGUGACCAAAGAAAAAAAACAGGGAUGCAGCCACCAGGUGGCAGGAUGGUGCUCAAACUGCAGGAUGCAGGCUUUCCCUGAAUUCCUCAGGAUUCAGGUUUCCAGUCAAUGCAAGAAGCCCUUCUUCCGUCCCUUCAGGAUCAGCCUGCUCUCUGCAGGGCGCUUCCAGGGACAAGGCCUCAUGAGGACAGCCCACUCCAUAAACAGGUGGAAUGCUGCCUUGAUCAAGUGCAGUCUCCUUCCCAGCUCUGCAAUGCAAGCGCACCCUGGACCCUGACUUCCCCAUCCUCCUUUUAUGCAGUCUCAAACUGAUGUGUCAUCGCUCCACAGUCCCUCAAGCCCCCAAGCUUCUCCCUCCUGCCUAGCUCCUUCCCUGGCCCCCAAAGAAGGCUGACAGGAGAAACUAAACUGAAAUAAAGAGGCCAUGGUAGCUCUGUUUCCUAAGAUGUUUUGUUCUUUUUCUACCCAUAAGGGAAUGAUUCAAAAUGUCCCUCCACCUGGGUCCAACCGGUUUGCCUGAAGUUAAUUCACUCACCAGCUGUUAAGGCUGCUUCUGUCCUUGGGUGAAAUUUGGCUGGCUCACCCACUCUUCGGAGCUACAACUGGGCCUGGCCUCAUUAGAAGCCAUGUGGCCUCUGUAGCUGGCACCGUGGCUGUCCCCCGAGUCAGCCGGGAUUGCAUCAGCUCCUCUGAUGGCCAGAAGCAGAUUUCACAUUUUUUCCUCUCUCGAAUGUGUGCUGUCUUCUUGCUGCGUUCUGAUUUAGCUUCCUAUCUCUGAGACACAUAUUUAGCUCUCGUCUCAUUUGCAGAGGUACUGUCAUGCUUUUGAACGAUGUGGUCUUACUUUUCCAGCUGUUCCAUGUCACCAAACCAACAUUCUUUGGGGUUACACUUGUGGGGAAUUGUCUUCCAAAAGACUAUCUUUCUAUUUCAAGUUUUGCCUAAGCAUCUCCAGCAGACAUUAUCAAUGAGGUAAUUUUUGGCAAACUUAAGAGCGUGAUCCUGCGUAACAGAUGCUUAGGAGAGCACUGACAACUCACACAAGAUGAUUACCAUUCCACUGGCUUGACCCUCCUAGGUUGAGAGCACAAGGGGGAGGGUUUUUUUGAUAGAAUUGAUGAGACUCAAAAAGAUCUGAUUUUGGUCUUUCAAUGUCAGUGGAUACCACUCAGGAUGUGUUGAACUGGGGAGGGGAGCUGGCCUGCACUAAACACAUACCACACGUCCAGCACUCCGUAAGGUAGGCUCAGCUAUUUUCAAGGUAAACCUGUAAGCAUUCUGUUAUUAUGCCUUUUAAAAGAUGUGAAACUGAAGAUCUGAGUCUAAGAAAUGUUUAGCCAAUGCUGCACAGAUCGUAGAGGUUCAAAGCAGGCUAUAAUUCAAGGUCUUUCUGUAUCCAAAGCUUGUGCUCCUCAAAAGCAGUACAAUUCCUUUCUAAAUUAACUUUGAUUUCUUUUUUCUGAUUAUAAAAGCAAAAGUUGCUAAUGUAAAAAAAAAAAUGGAAAAAUACAUAAAAAUGUAAACAGAGACCUCAAAUCACUUUUAAUUCAUUAACAUUUUGUUAUUUUUUUCUUUCCGUACUGGUUUUUCUAGAUAACUAAUUAGACAGAUGAGACAGACAGACAGACAGAUGGCCCAUAGUAUCUUUAACCAUUUCUCUAUUGUGGUUCUAGUUACAUAUGUCAAACUGACUUCUAAAAAUAAAUGAGCAGCAAUUCAUAGCAGUAUAUGAGUAUAUCUAUCUCAUAUCAGAAG